RNAcentral lists this ribosomal RNA (516 nucleotides) under uncultured bacterium. RNAcentral describes it as "bacterial SSU rRNA". It matches the Rfam family "Bacterial small subunit ribosomal RNA", at positions 376 to 882 of the family's 1533-position model. The record is from RNAcentral.
CGAAAAGUCUGACGGAGCAACGCCGCGUGAGUGAAGAAGGUUUUCGGAUCGUAAAGCUCUGUCUUCAGGGACGAAUGUGCUUAAUGUGAAUAAUGUUAAGUAAUGACGGUACCUGAGGAGGAAGCCACGGCUAACUACGUGCCAGCAGCCGCGGUAAUACGUAGGUGGCAAGCGUUGUCCGGAAUUAUUGGGCGUAAAGCGCGCGCAGGCGGGAAUGUAAGUCUGUCUUAAAAGUUCGGGGCUCAACCCCGUGAUGGGAUGGAAACUACAUUUCUUGAGUGCAGGAGAGGAAAGUGGAAUUCCUAGUGUAGCGGUGAAAUGCGUAGAUAUUAGGAGGAACACCAGUGGCGAAGGCGACUUUCUGGACUGUGUCUGACGCUGAGGCGCGAAAGCCAGGGGAGUGAACGGGAUUAGAUACCCCGGUAAUCCUGGCCGUAAACGAUGGGUACUAGGUGUAGGAGGUAUCGACCCCUUCUGUGCCGGAGUUAACGCAAUAAGUACCCCGCCUGGGGAGUA